RNAcentral lists this ribosomal RNA (481 nucleotides) under uncultured bacterium. RNAcentral's name for it is "partial 16S ribosomal RNA". It matches the Rfam family "Bacterial small subunit ribosomal RNA", at positions 28 to 523 of the family's 1533-position model. The record is from RNAcentral.
GACGAACGCUGGCGGCGUGCUUAACACAUGCAAGUCGAGCGGAAAGGCCACUUCGGUGGUACUCGAGCGGCGAACGGGUGAGUAACACGUGAGUAAUCUGCCCCUGGCUUUGGGAUAGCCACCGGAAACGGUGAUUAAUACCGGAUACGACCACUUCUCGCAUGGGAUGGUGGUGGAAAGUUUUUUCGGCCAGGGAUGUGCUCGCGGCCUAUCAGCUUGAUGGUGAGGUAAUGGCUCACCAUGGCUUCGACGGGUAGCCGGCCUGAGAGGGUGACCGGUCACAGUGGGACUGAGACACGGCCCAGACUCCUACGGGAGGCAGCAGUGGGGAAUAUUGAACAAUGGGCGGAAGCCUGAUCCAGCAACGCCGCGUGAGGGAUGACGGCCUUCGGGUUGUAAACCUCUUUCAGCAGGGACGGAGCGCAAGUGACGGUACCUGCAGAAGAAGCACCGGCCAACUACGUGCCAGCCGCCGCCGUAA